Molecule: ribosomal RNA, 1008 nt
Filed under: Exserohilum rostratum
Lineage: Eukaryota; Fungi; Ascomycota; Dothideomycetes; Pleosporales; Pleosporaceae
Description: SSU rRNA
Rfam family: Eukaryotic small subunit ribosomal RNA
Source: RNAcentral
UUAUGGGGGGAAUUAUAGCCGUGAAACUGCGAAUGGCUCAUUAAAUCAGUUAUCGUUUAUUUGAUAAUACCUUACUACUUGGAUAACCGUGGUAAUUCUAGAGCUAAUACAUGCUAAAAAUCCCGACUUCGGAAGGGAUGUGUUUAUUAGAUAAAAAACCAAUGCCCUUCGGGGCUUCUUGGUGAUUCAUGAUAACUUUACGGAUCGCAUAGCCUUGCGCUGGCGACGGUUCAUUCAAAUUUCUGCCCUAUCAACUUUCGAUGGUAAGGUAUUGGCUUACCAUGGUUUCAACGGGUAACGGGGAAUUAGGGUUCGAUUCCGGAGAGGGAGCCUGAGAAACGGCUACCACAUCCAAGGAAGGCAGCAGGCGCGCAAAUUACCCAAUCCCGACACGGGGAGGUAGUGACAAUAAAUACUGAUACAGGGCUCUUUUGGGUCUUGUAAUUGGAAUGAGUACAAUUUAAACCUCUUAACGAGGAACAAUUGGAGGGCAAGUCUGGUGCCAGCAGCCGCGGUAAUUCCAGCUCCAAUAGCGUAUAUUAAAGUUGUUGCAGUUAAAAAGCUCGUAGUUGAAACUUGGGCCUGGCUGGCGGGUCCGCCUCACCGCGUGCACUCGUCCGGCCGGGCCUUCCUUCUGAAGAACCUCAUGCCCUUCACUGGGCGUGUUGGGGAAUCAGGACUUUUACUUUGAAAAAAUUAGAGUGUUCAAAGCAGGCCUUUGCUCGAAUACGUUAGCAUGGAAUAAUAAAAUAGGGCGUGCGUUUCUAUUUUGUUGGUUUCUAGAGACGCCGCAAUGAUUAACAGGAACAGUCGGGGGCAUCAGUAUUCAGUUGUCAGAGGUGAAAUUCUUGGAUUUACUGAAGACUAACUACUGCGAAAGCAUUUGCCAAGGAUGUUUUCAUUAAUCAGUGAACGAAAGUCAGGGGAUCGAAGACGAUCAGAUACCGUCGUAGUCUUGACCGUAAACUAUGCCGACUAGGGGAUCGGGGCCGAUGUUCUUUUUUCCUG